UGGGGAAUAUUGGACAAUGGGCGCAAGCCUGAUCCAGCAUGCCGCGUGCAGGAAGAAGGCCUUCGGGUUGUAAAGCCUUUUGUACGGAGCGAAAAGCUCUCUCUAAUACAGGGGGUUCAUGACGGUACUCGUAGAUAAGCAGGCUAACUACGUGCCAGCAGCCGCGGUAAUACGUAGGGUGCGAGCGUUAAUCGGAAUUACUGGGGUAAAGCGUGCGCAGGCGGUUUUGUAAGUACAGGACGUGAAAUCCCGGGCUCAACUGGGCAAUGCGUCUUGUAACUGCAAAGCUGGAGUGCGGCAGAGGGG
RNAcentral lists this ribosomal RNA (306 nucleotides) under uncultured Hydrogenophaga sp. RNAcentral's name for it is "bacterial SSU rRNA". It matches the Rfam family "Bacterial small subunit ribosomal RNA", at positions 355 to 659 of the family's 1533-position model. Lineage: Bacteria; Pseudomonadati; Pseudomonadota; Betaproteobacteria; Burkholderiales; Comamonadaceae. The record is from RNAcentral.